GACGAGGGGUCCUAGCGUUGUUCGGAAUCACUGGGCGUAAAGCGCAUGUAGGCGGCUCUAUAAGUCAGGUGUGAAAGCCCUGGGCUCAACCCAGGAAGUGCAUUUGAUACUGUAGAGCUUGAAUAUGGGAGAGGGUAGUGGAAUUCCUGGUGUAGUGGUGAAAUACGUAGAUAUCAGGAGGAACACCGGUGGCGAAGGCGGCUACCUGGCCCAAUAUUGACGCUGAGAUGCGAAAGCGUGGGGAUCAAACAGG
This 253-nucleotide ribosomal RNA is filed under the name uncultured bacterium. RNAcentral's name for it is "partial 16S ribosomal RNA". It matches the Rfam family "Bacterial small subunit ribosomal RNA", at positions 524 to 776 of the family's 1533-position model. The record is from RNAcentral.